RNAcentral lists this ribosomal RNA (300 nucleotides) under uncultured Bacillus sp. Its description in RNAcentral is "bacterial SSU rRNA". It matches the Rfam family "Bacterial small subunit ribosomal RNA", at positions 495 to 795 of the family's 1533-position model. The record is from RNAcentral. Lineage: Bacteria; Bacillati; Bacillota; Bacilli; Caryophanales; Bacillaceae.
GGUAAAGCCGGGGACGCUGCGGCGGUAAGACUGAGGGUGGAAGGGUGUACCGGAAUAACUGGGGUUAAAGGGUGCGGAGGAGUCAUAAUAAGUCAGAGGUGAAAGCUUGCGGCUCAACCGUAAAAUUGCCUUUGAGACUGUUAUGCUUGAAUCAGGUUGAGGUAGGCAGAAUGUGGCAUGUAGCGGUGAAAUGCAUAGAUAUGCCAUAGAAUACCAAUUGCGAAGGAAGCCUGCUGGACCUGUAUUGACGCUGAGGCACGAAAGCGUGGGGAUCAAACAGGAUUAGAUACCCCGGUAGUC